RNAcentral lists this long non-coding RNA (29514 nucleotides) under Phaseolus vulgaris (common bean). Its description in RNAcentral is "long non-coding RNA (PVUL_LNC000705)". Lineage: Eukaryota; Viridiplantae; Streptophyta; Magnoliopsida; Fabales; Fabaceae. The record is from RNAcentral.
CAGGCCAGUUUUCUUGCACCUCUUUGGUCUUGCACCUCUUGGUCUUGCACCUCUUUGGUCUUGCACCUCUUUGGUCUUGAACCUCUUUGGUUGUGAUAGAACACAAACACAAACACAAUGGUUGCAGCAGUUGUAACUCUUGCAUACCUUGCUCUUCCUCUUCUUUUGUUAAUCUUUGUCCAAAAUCUUAGAAAGGGGAAGGGGUCACGGUUUCCACCUGGUCCAAGAGGGCUUCCCAUAGUAGGGAACCUUCUUCAGGUGGACAGUACAACUCUCCAUCUGCAGCUAUGGGAACUGUCAAAGAAAUACGGACCUAUCGUUUCCCUUAGAUUUGGAUCAAGGAGAGCCAUUGCUGUUUGCACCUCUGAAUUGGCCAAAGUGGUGUUGAAAGACCAUGACCUUGAGUGUUGUGGACGACCUAAAUUACUUGGCCAACAAACACUGUUCUUCAAAGGCUAUGAUGUUAUAUUCUCCCCAUAUGGUGAGUUUUGGAGAGAAAUUAGAAAAAUUUGUGUUCUCAAUGUCCUUAGCCAGAAACAAGUCUCAACAUUUUCACCAAUAAGACGUAGUGAGUUGAAGAAUAUGAUGAUAAAAAUAUCUAGGAACGCUUCAUCUUCAAAGCUUACUAAUUUUACAGAAGCGAUGAUGUCUCUUACGAGCACAGUGAUAUGUAGAAUUCUAUUUGGGAGAAGCUAUGAAGAUGACGCAGCGGAGGGGAGUAGGUUCUAUUCACUACUCAAAGGUUGUCAAGAGAUGAUGGUUGCAUUCUUUUUCUCUGAUUUCAUUCCUUCCUUGGGUUGGAUCGAUACUGUAACUGGAAAGAAAGCUCGUCUUCGUACUAUUUUCAAGGAGGUUGAUGAGUUCUUCCAGGACGCCAUUGAUGAACACUCUGAUCCAAAGAGAAAAGUGAAUCCAGAGAAUCAGGAUGUGACAGAUAUCAUUCUCAAACUGCAGAAGCAGGGUUCGAGUUCCAUAGAAAUGACAGACGACGUGGUCAAAGCCAUCCUCAUGGUAUGGAUAAGCUUCUUCUUUUCCAUUUCUUGUCAUUUACUUUUUUCUAUUUCUCUAACUAACUCCAUUCACUUCUCAUGUCUCUCUUCAGGACUUGCUUCUAGCAUCAACAGAUUCAAGUUCAGCCUCAUUGGUGUGGAAUAUGACGGCACUACUGAAGAAUCCAAGAGUGAUGAAGAAAGUGCAAGAGGAAAUAAGGAGUGUGGGAGGAAGAAAGGAAUUUCUAGACGAAGAUGAUGUACAGAAGUUUCCGUAUUUGAAGGCAGUGAUAAAAGAGACAUUCAGAUACUAUCCACCAGGGCCAAUUCUUGUGCAAAGAGAAACAAAUGAAGCAUGCGUGAUAGGAGGUUACGAAAUACCAGCAAAGACAACAUUGUACGUGAAUGCGUGGGCGAUCCAUAAGGACCCUGAUAACUGGAAAAACCCAUUUGAGUAUUAUCCAGAGAGGUUCUUGGAUAGUAGUGUAACUUAUCGAGGGCAAGAUUAUGAGUUUCUUCCAUUUGGUUCUGGUCGUAGAGUUUGCCCUGGGAUGCCUAUGGCUAUUGCCUCCUUGGAUCUCAUCCUUGCUAAUCUUCUUAAUGCUUUCGAUUGGGAAUUGCCAGCAGGAAUGAAACCAGAUGACCUUGAUGUUUUGACCGAUCCAGGACUCACCGUUCACAAGAGGAAUCCUCUUCAUCUUCUCGCCAAACGUGUUAUCUAAAUCUAUCUUUCUUUUUAUUAUUGUUUGCACCAUACCCAAUCCUACUGCCACAAAGUAGGUAAAUAAGGGCCCAUAUCACUUUUCAUUACCUCCAUCCUCUCUUCUCCCCUCUCAACAUCACCUCACAUCUUGUACUCAUCAUCUUUUACCAUCUUAUGUUAAUGUCAUUUNNNNNNNNNNNNNNNNNNNNNNNNNNNNNNNNNNNNNNNNNNNNNNNNNNNNNNNNNNNNNNNNNNNNNNNNNNNNNNNNNNNNNNNNNNNNNNNNNNNNCUACUAUAAACCUCUCUCACACAUCUCAUUUUUUCACCCUAAUGCUAUAAUGCCAAAUUUUUUAAAUCUAAAAUAUUCAAAAAGGAAAUUACGUUAAUAUAACUUAAUUAAGUAACAAAUAAUUGUUGAAUAAAAGUAAUUAGAUAAAUUUUGAAAUUUAAUCAAAGGGGUGGGAUAGAAAAAUAAUUUAUUAAUCCAUCGAUAUACACAUUGUUCGAACAAUGAUUUCUUGUAUCUUUCAAGAUGGUUUGACAAUAGAAGCAUUCCUUGAGACAAUCUUAUUCCCAUAUAUUCAUUUAAGUCAUAAUUAUUAAUGACUUGGGACAACCUUUAGAACUUCUACUAGUUGUUGGAUUGGUGCAAAGUUAAGGAUCUUUUUGUGUUAGUGGAUAAUCUUUGUCAUUAAAUUUAUUAACUUCAUCCAACUUGUAGACCUGAUUGAUGUACAUGUCGAAAUCAUUGUGGACAUAUUUGCACACUAUAAGCACAUGAAAACGCAGGAGGUGAAGUUUUUGAAACUUCCCACACAAUCACACCAUUGUUCAUCAAGUCUAAUAGCAAAUUUUUCAUCUAGUUGAACUUUUCUUUAGUAGGUCAUCUCCUCCACCAAGAAUUUUGUGCUACUUCUAUCAAAUUCAAGCAUCCUGUGAAUAUUUCAUUUUGAAUGAGCACCUUCUAGUAUCUUUGAUGUAACUUUGAAAUAGAGAUGACCAACAUUAAUCACUAUGGUUACCUUCCUCAUUUUUUUUGUUUAAUUUGUACCUUGUGUGUGUGGCUUUGACUAUGCAGAAAAUGAGAAGAUUCCUUAUUUUUUUUGAAUUUAAUAUAAAAAUUCAACUAAGUUUGUCAAGUGGCGCUGUAUUUUUCUCUUCUCGUGCAAGUGGCUAUUUAUCACUAUAAAAAAAAUCAGAUUUACUAACAAAUUUUUACCCACGAAUCUGAAUUCGUAGGUAAAUUCAACAUUAUAUACGAAUAUUAUUCACUGACCUGAAUUCAUAGGUAAAUUCAGUAUUACCUGUGAAUAUUAACCACGAAUUUGUAUCCGUACUUGUAGAUUAUUACUCAUGUAUCUCUAUCCAUAGGUAAAUUUUACAUUAUCUACAAAUCUAUAUCUAAAAAAAAUCCAAUAUUAUUACUAAUUAUUAAUAUAAAUAUUUUAAUUAACAAUAUUAAAAAUAUUAAAAAUUAUUGAUAUUUAUAGUAGAUUUUAUUUUAAAAUAAAAUAAAUAUAGUCUUAUUUAUUUUUAAAUGAAAAAAAUAUAGUCUUAUUUAUUUAUAGUUUUGUUUUCGAAUCCUGCUAAGUUAAUAAAGUUUUUAUUUUAAAAUGAAACAAAUAUAGUCUUCUUUUUUAUAUUAUGAAUGAGGAGGCAAUGGUAAAAUGAAACAAAUAUAGUCUUCUUUUUAUAUUAUGAAUGAGGAGGCAAUGGCCUUUAAAACGUGUAAUUUUAGAAAUAUUAACCUAAAAGAGUUGUUGAAAGAGGUAUAUAUUUAAAAAAAGGGUACACGUGAAAGAUAUUCCUACAACAAUUGGCUUCUUAUAUUUUAUUUUCACGCAUCACAUGCUUCUGUUUAAGAUCCUCGAUCAUGGGGAUGCGUAAAGCGUUAUUAAUGAACUCACAAACACGGCUUGGUCAUCUGAUGCAAGAUAAUAAUACCAAGCAAGUAAAAAUUUAUUUUUAUUUAAUAUGUUCAUAUUGAAUUACUGCAAGUCAAAUACUAGCCACGGAAGUGAAGUUUUGUUCCCAAUGUUGGUGAGGAUGUGACUUAUAGGGAAUGCAAGAAGAGUAAAAAAUCUCUAUAAUAGAGAAGUUUUGUAUAUAAAAUUUAUUCAAAAUUUACUGAUAUUGAAUAUUGUUAAUUUUUUUUAUCAAUUAUUUUUAUAAAAUAUGAUUAUUAAAAUGAAAUUUAUUAACAAUAAUUUAUUAUAAUUUUGCCUUAAUUUAAUUAAUGUGAAAUCUUGAUGCGUCGAACGUAAGAAUUAAGAAGACUCGACAGGAGAGGAUAAUAAACUCACAAUCUCGAUUAAAAUGGAUUUUUAAUUACUUUAAUACUAACUUAAAAAAUAAAUUUAAAUUUAACACCUUUAUAAUAAAAUAAAUAUUAUCCUUAUUUCUAUAUUAUAAAACUAAUCUUAUUUUUAGUUCGAUAAAAGAUUUCUAAACAAUAAUUAUGAAAAAUUUAAAUACUAAUACUUCAUAGAGAACUAACAAAAUAAGUAAUAAUAGCUAUAAUUUAUAAAUAUUUAAGAUAUAUAUUAUACAAGAGGAUGAAUAUAUAAUUUUAUUAAAAUAAUUAAACAAAAUGGUAAAUGAAAAAUGAAGUAGCCAAAUUAUUGAUUAUUAGACUAUUACAGUUUGAAUGGGUGAAUGGCAGGCAUUGAUAUAUUUUGCCAUGGGCAUCUGAAACGAAGCACAUGGAGGUGAAGAUUUGUUCUGUGAUGAGUUGGUCCACAAGAGACAAAUAAUUAAAAAAAAUCAUUUAUAAUUAAUGUCUCUUCUUCAGUGGCAGUACAAAAUCCUCGCUGGAAAGAACUUGGUCCAGGCAUAAUUCUUUAUCAAUACUUCAUUAAGUUUCAUCUUUAUGGUUGAUAAAUUCUUUAAUGUUUUUGUUUUAGUAAUAUUAUAUUUUGCUGGUUGAUCUGCUUCUCGGUUGACUCUAAUGACAAGUUCUAGUUCUAUUUGUCUCUGUUGGAAUAUGCUAUUUCCUUUGUUACGUUCGAAAACGACUCUGUUGAAACAUGGGGUCCUACGUGUUGAUUGCACUCCGACGAUCAAGUCAGUACAAGGCUUAUAAGAAAUAAGAAGUAACAAGUUUCAGUCUUAGAAAUAACGUACCUUAACCUGGGGUCUCAAAAUCCUUUUAUAACUUACCUCUUGUAACAACUUUCCAUCACGAGAAUCUAAUCUCAACUGAAAGCAUACUCAACACAAAAAUAUUCAAUUUAGGGGCACACUCUCAAGGUGUUGCAAGCAACAAAAUGAAAUAUUUCCUCCAGGGAGUGCAUAAAAUAAUAACAAAAUAACCACCAGGGUAUCAACUAAUGUACAAGCAUCAGGGGUCCAAUUUGUUUACGUUGACACCCUUAAAGUGGUGCUACGUUCCUUUUCAUCAUGCAUGCAACCUAACCCUUACAUGCCCUAGCACACAUGGGCUUAGGUUUAAAAGAAAGACACUUACUUGACCUAGACCCCAUACGCACUAAGCGCACCCCUAGGUCCACAAUUACUCGUUGCUAGUCGCCUAGGCUUUACAUGCGAAGGAUUACCUUAAUUAUACAAAAAUGGACUUACUCAUACAACUAGGACCCAAUUACAUGGCCCGCUAUUAUGACCCAAGAGCCGAGCUGACUUAUGUAUAGCAGGUGCUGAGGUCCGACCACCGAGUGCUGAGCUCUGAGCACUCUGAUCCAUUAUCGGGUAACAUUAUCGGACACCAAGUGUCUUGGGAUCCCAAAACGGAUGACAAUGUUCCUCCACACGAAGUGUUUGACCUUGGUGAGUGGUUAUCUGCGCAAUUGGUUCAGCUUCUUUUCACUUGGUGAAGUACUCAAUCGCACCACGAGAUACUUCAUCUGACGAAUCACCAAGGGGAAAUGACCUAAGAUGUCUAUUCCCAGGUAUGGAAAGGCCAGGAGCUAUGUAUUGACUGCAACUCCUCGGGGGGUGCGUGAUGCCAAUCAGCAUGCUUCUGACACUGCUCACAUCGCUGCGCAUACCUCGUGCAGUCCUCUCUCAUAGUUGGUCAAUAGUAACCAGCUCGAACGACCUUCAAAGAAAGAGCUCACCCUCAAACGUGGCUUCGACAAAUUCUUUCAUGGAGCUCUGCCAUGAUACGAGUGCACUGGUCCCUGCUUACGCAGGUGAGGAUAGGAUGAGCGUAGGCAUGGCGGAACACCUUUCCGUCAACCAGGAUGUAUCUUUAUGCAUUCCUUUUGACCGUCUUUGCCUUUGUGGGUUCUACUGGGAGUACACCAUCAGCUAGGUAGCGCUGAUAGGGUGUCAUCUAGAUCUCCGCUAUGUCGACCUGUAAGACCUCCAACGAAUCUUCUUCCGGUAAGCCAUAAACGCUUAUUUUGGGCACCUUCAGCGUUUCUUGUAUCAAUGAUAGGUGCACCAUUCCUUUCGCCGAGCUAACCAUCAAGGUCUUUAUAUGACUAACCUCUGGUGCUCCAUCUACAAUGGUCCUGGGUGACUUUUAGGGUCUCUUGGAUAACUGAUCUCUGUCGACCUCCUUUACCUGAGCUCGCCAACUUGGCCAGCAGGUUUGCUCAGGAAUUAUGUUCUCUUAGGACAUGCACCAACUCAAAUGUGGGGAAAGUUUCCCUAAAAAGGGUAACAUGUUGAUCAAGGAUGAUCUUGAAGCUUUAAUGUCUCGAAAUCCAUGGUGUUUGAUGGAAGGCUAAAGUUGUUGUGUGUGUGGGUGGGUUUUGGGUAGAAUAUUUUGUAAUCCACUCUUUGUUUGAAUCUAAAACAGUUUGGAAUCAAAACCUUUUUGAAAAAGAUUGUUUUAUGAAGAAGUGGAAAAACAACCUGUUGUUUUGUCGUUUCAAUCGGUUGUUUAUCACUUUGAGAUUUUUGAAAAGGGUUUUAAAUUGUUUGACUUGGUUGACUUUGCUGUCAAACCAAUUCAAUCGGUUGUUUCGAGAAUUCAACCGAUUGUUUGUUGAAAAUCCAUAACAAAGUUUUUGUUAUGUUUGCAAAUCAACGUUAAAUGUUUUCUAACUAAAUAGGCUCCUGCUUUAAAUGUUUUUAACAACUUUUGGAGUAUUUAAAAGAGAUUGUUAUACUCUCUUAAAAAGAGUUAGAUAAUUUGAGACAUUUUGUGAAAGUGUGAAAACAGAUUUGAGUUUUCAAGAUUUGCAUUUAAGCUUUUGGGUUUUCUCAAAGAAGUGGAAUAGGAUUGUUGUAAUCUUUUGAUUUGAUCUUCAUCAGGUGUAAUCCUUUUUGUAUAUCUUGUAUUUCUGAAUAUUGAAGGUGGAAACAAAAAUCAUAGGUUGUUAUGAAUUCUGUGGUGUGUUUUCCAAAGAAAGUGUGUGUCUUGAGGUGUUCAAGGUCACUUCAUUGGUAGUAUGUUUGUAAUCUGGAUUUUGAUUGCAUAGUAGAUACCUAGUGGUUUUCUAGGGACCGGAUGUACCUCUUGGUGUAAGAGUGAACCAAUAUAAAUCUAUUUGUGUGAUUCUGUCAUUCCCUGAUAUCACAUAUAUCUGUUUUAAGUUGUUUUUAUUAACUGUUGAUAAAAACAACAGAUUGAAUCGCAAAAAACAACCAGUUGAUUUUCUGGAAAUAAACUAAAACAGCUUUGUGCAUUGUUUUCCAUAGUUUCCUUGUCUGUGAUUCUUCAUUGGCCUUCAUUAUACCUUCAAAGUUUGCGAAAAUAUUUCAUAAACAAUUAACCCCCCCCCUUUUGUUUAAGGCCAUAUGUUCUAACAUGACAUACCUCAAGUACGAGGCCAUUUGUGGAUCUUUGGCCUGGUACUCACCUGUGACUUACCUGGUUACUAGCAACGAGUCACUUUUUACCAACAAACUUUGAGCGCCCAAUUCUUUGGCUAGCAGCAUUCCAGCUACCAGGGCUUCAUACUCAGCCAGGUUGUUGUUGGCUUUGAAAGCAAAUCUAAGGGCUUGCUCGAUCAAAAGUCUGUUAGGUCCCUCUAGAAUAAUCCCAGCCCCGCUACCUUGCUGGUUAGAGGACCUGCCCAACGAAACAACCCACUGAAAGUCUCCACCGUUUACCUGGGUGGUUUCUAAGGAUAGAUCUACCACGAAAUCGGCAUAUACCUGGCCCUUGAUGGGCCCCUUGGGUUUGUAUUGCACGUCGGACUCUGACACCUCGACUGCCCAAUGCACCAUCCGACCUCUACAUCGGGUUUCUGGAGGACCUUGCGUAUUGAGAGAUCGGUCAUUACAGUCAUUAUGAAACUCUGAAAAUAGUGACGAAGUCGCCGGGCUGCGAACACCACCGCCAAGGCUGCCUUUUUGUUGGCUUGAUAUCGUACCUCCGGCCCUUGUAGCACCUUGCUUACGAAAUAUAUAAGUCUCCUGAUUUUGCUCUUGCACAAUUACUGAGAUGAUUGCUCGAUUUGUAACUGCAAAAUAAAGGCGAAGCGGAGUACCGGGUUGCGGCUUGUAGAGGACAGGUGGGCUGGCUAGGUACUCCUUCAACUUGAGGAACGCCUCUUCACACUCGUGAGUCCAUGUGAAGCGGUUACUCUUCUUCAAACACUGGAAAUAAGGGUACCCCUUAUCCCCUUUUGCUGAUAGGAAUCUGGACAGGGCGAUCAUACACUCAGUCAACUGUUGUACCUCCUUCACACUAGCGGGGCUUCUCAUCCCUAUGAUUGCUCCACACUUAUCCGGGUUUGCUUCUAUCCCCCGUUCAGUGAGCAGGAACCCUAGGAAGUUCCCUGCCUCUAUCCGAAACACACUUCUCUAAGUUUAACUUUAAUUUGUACUUAGCUAUUGUAGUGCUUAUCCCUUUCUUCUGAGGUGACGACCAUGUCGUCCACAUAUGCUUGUACAUUUCGCCCAAUCAUGGGGGUGAGAAUCCUAUCUAUCAACCUCUAGUAGGUACGCCGACGUUCUUCAGCCCCAAACACAUGAAUUUAUAACAAUAGCUAGAGAUCUCUUUCAUGAAUGUUGUCUUGCACUCAUCUCGGGGGUGCAUGCGAAUCUGAUUGUACCCCGAGAACGAGUAUAGGAAGCUCAACAAUCGGCAACCUGAAGCGCUAUCCAUCAAGGAAUCGAUGUUGGGAUAGGCCUUAUUCAGGUAUGUAAAGUCGACGCACAUUCUCCAUCUCCCAUGUUCCUUCUUCACUAAAACCACGUUUUCCAACCACUCAGGGUAUUAGAUUUCCCUUAUGUGGCCAGCCUUCAGGAGUUUCUGCAUUUUGUCCUUGAAAACUAGACAUCUUUCUUCAUUGAUCAGAUCGCCGCCUUCUGGUCAGACUUAAUGAUGAUCAACCCUCCCUGAGGGAGGGCAACUUCAUCUUCAUGUGCCUUGUUGAGGCUAUUGCGCCUACCUAUUCAAGAAUACCGAAUAGAAUUGCUGGAAACUGAAAUUAAACCAAACAAACAACAAGAAAAAGAAGAAGACACAACUAUGAACAACCAAGGCAAGGAUGCACCGAAGCAAAUUCAGAAACAAAAUAGAAAUACCGAACCAAAAAGAAGCUAAACAUGUAUUAGGAGUUUCAUUGAAUAUGGAGAUGAAAGAAAGAAGAACUUAUGGAGAUGGAUGCUUUGGUUUGAUGAUCACGCCACUUAGAGGAUGGUGACUCCAAGAUGAGUGUGCAAGCCGCCACUUGAGAUAACCAUAGAACUCUCAAGAUAAGACUAAUGAGGAAGGCACAAAGCUCUUCAAUUCUCUCUCAAUUUGAGUAGAGUUUUCUUACUUCAAUUUCCAAAUCUGAAAUUUACAAAGAGAGCACCUCUAUUUAUAGCCUAAGGUGCUGGAAUAUAAGCUACACAAAUUCAAAAAACUCCCUCCCAUAAAGCUUCUAGAAUUUGCGCCUAAAACAAAGCAUGAGGAAGGUGUGACCUCUUCCUUCACUUUGGCACCUCCUUAUUUACUCCUACACCUAUCUACUAACACCCCCCCCUAAGACUCCUAACUAAAGACUAAAAGAUGCUUUAACAAUAGAGGUUUCUAAUGUUUCCCUCUAAGCACCUUCAACAAUAUUCUUUAUUAUUUAAUACUUGGCCUUGCCCUUUAUAGGAUGGACUUGGGCUUGGGCUUGGGCUUUGGGCUUGGGCCUCUCUUUAUUUUAUGUCUUCUUUUAAUUUUGAGAAGACUAGAAGGAAGAACUUCAAGUGUGAUGGUGAAUGGCCUCUUCCUUCAUUAAUAAAAUCCUCUUUUACUUGAUUCUCAUCAAGGUCGUCCUCAGCUCCACAUGUCCCUGUACCUCCACCUGGUCUCUAGCGAAGCCAAACAAACAACCAUCAUACGGUUGCAACUGGUUAGGUGAGAACUGUAGGUUAUUAAACGUUACCCAAAACAACAUAUCAACCGAGUUUCCCUGGUCAAUGAGAAAUCAGUGUACCCUUCUUCCCACGGUGACGACAGAGAUCACUACUGGAUCAUCCUCGUGUGAGACCACGUCCUCCAAAUCAGCUCUCGUAAAGCAAAGGUCAGGCUCGGCUGGCUGGUUAGAGCCCCGCGCCUCCACUAUCAUUACCUCCUUUGUGUACUUCUGGCGUUCGAUGCAUGCUGCUGCGCUUUACUGAUACGGCCUCUUCUGCGGCGAUGUGGGAAACAGCUCGUCGUCGUAUCUCCCCAAAUGUUCUUUCUUGAUUUUUUAUUAGUGAGUCGCUAAACGACCCUGACAUGACCUCCUACUGAAAGGCGUGGACCAUCAACGCUUCAUCCUGCGUCUGGAGCUUCACUGUGAACGCCCCAAAUUUGUUCAAAAAGUCCUUCAAUAGCUCUCCCUGCCUUUGCUUUGUGCCAAAAAGGUCGAAAGACACUAGCGGUUGGGCUAGAUUGACAAUGAAUUAUUCCCUUAACAAUCCAAAAAACUAAUCGAAAGAGGUUAUGUGGGCAUUAGGAAGGCCAACAAACCACUGCAAUGUUGUACCUAUGAACGUACCCAAGAACAUCUUGUAAUGCAUAGCAUCCGUUUCAUCAUCUGGGCAUUAAAUGCUGUAAUGUGGGUCUCGGGGUCUUCUACUUCUGUAAACACGAUCUUGGGUAUCAUGAAAUUGGCUAGUAUAACAGUGUCCAUGAUCGCCUGCGAAAAUGGUUUGGGGCGAGCCCUUAGUUAAGAAAUUGGACCUUGCUCCCCUGUAGAGCGUUCGUCAAAGUGUUAUAGACUCCUCCGCAACUCAUCAUUGGUCUUGCGUAGCACAUCUUCAGCUGGUCUUGCCUGAGCACCAGCUCGGCUUGGACCUCCGCCAUGAGUCUCUCCUUUCAUCCUUGGAUGUCUUUAUCAUCUCCAGGAGAACACUCACAGUCUCCAUAAGUUGUUGUAUGGUGGGGUUGUCACUCCCUUCAGAUCCUAAUAGGUCUUGCCUUGUAUUCCUCAUCACAUCUAGGAACUUGAGCACGACUGCGGGUGGGACCUAGUUUUAUCAGGCCCCACAGUAAGCGCCGGUUGACUCUAAUGACAAGCUCUAGCUUCGUCUUUCUCUGCUGGAAUCUGCUAUUCCCUUUGUUACGUUGGAAAACGACUCCGUUGAAAUAGAGGGGACCCUUCCUGUUGAUUGCACUAUGAUAAUCAAGUCAGUAUAAGGCUUAUAAGAAACAAGAAGUAACAAGUUUCAUUCUUAGAAAUAACGUACCUUAACCUGGGGUCUCAAGCCCCUUUUAUAGCUUACCUCUUAUAACAACUUUCCAUCACGAGAAUCUAAUCUCAACUGAAAGCAUACUAAACAAGAAAAUAUUUUGUUCAGGGGCACACUCUUAAGGUGUUACAAGCAACAUAACAAAAUAUUUCCUCCACGGAGUGCAUAAAAUAAUAAGAAAAUAACCACCAGUGUACCAAGUCAUGUACGAGCAUCAGGGGUCCAAUCUAUUUGCGUAGACACCAUCAGAGUGGCGCUACGUUCCUUUUCAUCAUGCAUGAAACCUAACCCUUACAUGCCCUAACACACAUGAGCUUAGGUUUAAAAUAAAGACACUUACUUGACCUAGACCCCAAACGCACUAAGUGCACCCCUAGAUCCACAAUUACCCUUUGAUAGCCACCUAGGUUUUACAUGCGAAUGAUUACCUUAAUUAUACAAAAAUAGGACUGACUCAUACAACAAGGACCCAAUUACAUGGCCAACUAUUCUAGCUCAAGAGCUGAGCUGACCUAUAUACGACAGAUGCUGAGGUCCGACCACCGAGUGCUAAGCUCUGAGCGCUCUUGUCCAGUACAAAUAUAAAAGGAUAUAAUAUAUUAAGUGUCAAAACACUUGUCGUCUCAAUAAGAGUACAUAAUAUAAUUACAAUACCCAUUAUUAAUUUUUAUUCAUAUUUUUGUCAGAACUAAAUUUUCAUCUUCUAAAUAUUACUAGUGCAAAAGGAAGAUUUUACAAUGUGAAUAAAUAGUGGUUUAAGCGGAAGUUCAAAAUGACAAUUUUAAAAUAACAUCAACACAUAAAUUAUGGUUCUAAUUAUAGCUCGUCUAUUUGAAAACAAAUUAUAUAUAUAUUAUGGUUUGGUGGACAACCAUCACCUAUAAUUAUUAUAAUGUAUGACCAACACAAGAGGGCGGUGAAUUGUUUUCACAAGAUUUUCGCAAAGAUUGGAAGUAGAGUGAAAAGUUCUAAAAAAUCAAUCAAUUGUUUUUUUUAUUCAACUGGAUAAAAGUUCACUUUUAUAAUUCUUUAUAGAAAUUCAAAUAGUUAUUUUCUCGAAACAACAGGUUGGAUUGUUUAUACCAGCAGAAAAAGAAUAGUGUCAAAAACAGUGUAUAAGAGAAGGGAUAGAGAGAUUCACAUAAAGAGGUUUAUACCAGUUCACUCUUAACCAAGAGCUACAUCCAGUCCUUAACUAACCAUUGACAAAUCACUAAGCAAUCAAAACAAGAUUACAAACACACACCUAGAGUGUUGAUCUUGAACCCCUCAAGAACACACAAAACUCCUUGGCAAAACCACAGUUUUCAGAAACCCUUUUUUGAAACUGCCUUACACAAAUUACACAUAAUUACAUUGUUCAAAUGAAGGAAAUAAAGUACACCUGAGCUUUAGAAAGCAGUAGUACAAAAGUAUAGAAAACCCAAUUCCUAUUUCACACACAAGUGAUGAUCCAAAAGCUCUUGAUCCUCUUAAAAACAUUUUUAAUAAGCUUUCUUUCUUAGGUUAUUGAAAAGAUCAUAAAACAGUCUUUAUAGACUCAAGAAAGUGAUUAAAACGGUUAAAUCAUAAAUCAAAAGCAGUUGGAAACAUUUAAAAACAGUUUGGAACUCUUAACCGAAUUCUGUUAGAAAAAAAACAGAUUAGUUUACAAAACAACUUAUUGAAAUAAUUUUUCUAUUAAGGAUUUCAAAGAAAACAACUAGUUGUUUUAUCGAAAUAACCAGUUGUUUCAGUUUGACAACAAAGACAAAAUAAAGCAAAGUUAUUUCAAAACCUUUUGAAAACCACUAAGUGUUAAACAACUAGUUGUUUCGACAAUUCAACAAAUUAAAAAGCUUGUUAUAGCCUAAAGACCUUUGAGUAGUAGGUUUUCCAACAUAUUGAUUUGAAAAACAAAUGACUAAAAUUGCACAGCUUCUUAGAAAACACUUAUUUAAAAGAGAUAAAGAAACAAGUGAGUUUGGAUCAAUGCAAGGUGGGAAUUAACAAUUCAAAAGCUACUAGACAACACACACAAACACAACAACAAGUUCUUCAAGUCUUCUACACAGAUUUGGAGGUAUCAAAGCACCUUAUUCAACAAUCUCUCCUUAAUUGAUGAAGACAAAUCCAUACUUUGUUUGUGUUGUAGGUUUUAAACUUAAGAGCUCCUGCAAAACAAAAUUGUAUACCACACAAAGAAAGUGUAGCAUCAGGAUAAAACAUAUUCACCAAGCACAUUCAUAGAGCAAGUUUUUGCAUAAUAGAGAAGCAGAAACAAAAACCAAAAAAAAAUAAAAAUUGAAGUGUGCAAGUGCAAAGUGUGGUAGCAGCAUGUAUCAAAAUUAAAGCACAUAAUGUAGCAAAAUUACAACCAAAUGAACCAAAAAGUCUCUCCCUAUUUGUCUUCACAAAUAGACAAAAAGAAUGAAUAAUACAAGUAGAAAACAUAAUGAUAAAAUAAUUGUCCAGCAAUACAGAAAAUAUAGAGCAUAAAAAGAAGUAGAAAGAGAUACUUUAAGCUUUCAAACAUCCUUGCCAUAUUGAAAUUCAAAGGGAUAAGUUUGCACAACUUCAAUUUGCUCAUCUAGAUGCUGGAACCUAGCAGCACAAAAUUAUAGUGGUUCCUUUGAUCAUUUGCCAUGUUGUCCAAGCAGUUGAUCAUUAAUCUUUCAAAUUGUGACAUAGAAAUCCCAUGAUCUAUGGGUGGCACAUAGCCCACAAGUGCAUGCAGAGCAUAUUCUUCUGCAACUCCAGCACUUGGACCAGCUCCAUAAUUUGUAUCAGCAACUUGCUUAGUUGGAUUUUCAAUCCCUUGUUCAACAUGUUCAUAUUCAGAUUGAUUUUCAACAUUUAGUUUAGCUUGUUGUCCAUUAUUUAUUCCAAUUUGAUCUUCACGAGAAGGACCCACCUGUUCUUCCUCUUUGCUAACCCAUUUGUCACCAAUUUUGAUGAACCCCAUCUUGCUAAGAAACCCAUUGUUAAUUUCAUGAGAUGGUUUUGUUAGAAUAUAUGGCCUUAAACGAGAGGGGGGUGAAUUGUUUAAGAGAAGUUUUUGAAAAAAACUUCAGGUUUAACAAAAUUAUUUGUGUAAAUCUAGAAUAGGAAUCAGGUUAGCCAAGAAUUUAAGCAAUUAUACAGCAAAGCAACAGAAAAACNNNNNNNNNNNNNNNNNNNNNNNNNNNNNNNNNNNNNNNNNNNNNNNNNNNNNNNNNNNNNNNNNNNNNNNNNNNNNNNNNNNNNNNNNNNNNNNNNNNNNNNNNNNNNNNNNNNNNNNNNNNNNNNNNNNNNNNNNNNNNNNNNNNNNNNNNNNNNNNNNNNNNNNNNNNNNNNNNNNNNNNNNNNNNNNNNNNNNNNNNNNNNNNNNNNNNNNNNNNNNNNNNNNNNNNNNNNNNNGUAUCGAUUAUUUCUUCGAAACAAUCGGUUGUUUAUAUCAGCAAAGAUUAAAACAAAAUUUAAAUGAGUUCAGGGUAAGAGAGAAAUAGACCAACAGUUUAUACUGGUUCACUCUUAAGCCAAGAGCUACAUCCAAUCCCCAGAAUACCAUGGGUAAUCCACUAAGCAAUCAAACCAGAUUACAAGACACAAACCACCAAAGUAGUGACGUUGAACCCUUCAAGAAACACACUAUCUUUGGCAAACCACACCAAGAGUAUUGAUCUUGAACACCUCAAGAGCACACAAUACUCCUUGGCAACACAACACCUGAAAUACAAUAGGUUUAGAAAGGAUUACACCUGAUCACAAUACAAACUGAAUUGAAUACAAUUUCAAUCUUAUUCCACUCUCUCUUGAAAACCCAAAGCUUGAUGUGAAUCUUGAAAUCUUAGAAUCAAAUCUCUCAAACUGAAUUUCUCAAAGUUGUUUCUUACUUAUUUCAAAACAUAAAUAAACCAUUUAUAUUUUCCAAAGAUUGGUCAAAGCAAUUAAUGAAGGAGCGUAUUCAGUUGAAAAAUAUUUAAAGCAGAUUCACCAUUCAAAACAAAAUUCUAUUAGGAUAUUCAAAGAAACAAUCGGUUGAAACCACGAAACAACUGAUUGUUUGGCUUGCCAGUUAAGUCAACCAAACUAAAAUAGUUUUCAACCUUUUUCAAAACUCCUAAGAGUAAAACAACCGAUUGAUUUGACAAAACAACAGGUUGUUUUUCACUUAGUUGGAAAAACACUUGAUUUCAAAAAGGUUUUUAAUCACAAAAGUUUUAGAUUCAACAAAGGAGUGGAUCACACUUUAUUCUACCCAGAUCCCACCCAAACACAACAGCAACACCAGCCUUUUUCAAAGCACUUGAUGACUCUUGAUCAAUAGGUUUUACCACCUCAGACAAUUCUCCAUCAAGAAAAACUUCAAAAUAUUGAAGAAAUUUAGAUAUAAGAACAACAUAAGGAAAAUGAUAAUCACUUAAGCUCAUAGACUUUAGCAUAUGCUCCAUGAAGACAUAGAUCCAGUUGACUCAUAUGUUCUUUAUUAUGCAGUAGAUUAAGAAAAAAUCUUUUUCAGUGAAGACAUCAUGAUUACUAUCCCUUGUGUUAGAAUAUAUGACCUUAAACAAGAGGGGGGUGAAUUGUUUAAGAGGGAUUUUCGCAAACUUUGAAGGUAUAAUGAAAAUCAAUGUUGAAUUACAGAGAAAAUAAUCAAGGAAACAAAUACCCAAAACUGUUUUAAGAUGAUAUCAGAAAAACAAUCGGUUGUUUUGUCAAAACAAUCGGUUGUUUUGUCAAAACAAUUGGUUGUUUUUAUCAGCAGUUUAUUAAAACAACUUAAAAACAACAUUUAAAGAGUUAAGGGUAAGAGAUAAGCACACAAGCAAUUUAUAUUGGUUCACUCUUACACCAAGAGCUACAUCCAGUCCCCAGAAACCACUAGGCAUUCCACUGUGCAAUCAAAACCAGAUUACAAACACCACACACCAAAGUAGUGACCUUGAAACCCUCAAGAAACACACUACCUUUGGCAAACCACACCAAGAGUGUUGAUCUUGAACCCCUCAAGAACACACAACACUCAUUGGCAACACAAAUACAAAAAUACAGUAAUCAAGGAAGAAGGGAAUAGAAUACACCUGGGUAUUACAAAGCUUAAAGUUUAGAAUUACAACCCAAUCCUAUUCCACACACUUAAGAAUGAUCCAAAGCUCUUUCAAAUCUUGGAAAAGUUGUUUUGAUAAACUCUUUAUGUUACUCCAAGAUUAGGAGCGUAAAACCACCUUUAUAUAGACCCACCAAGUGGUCAAAAGCAUUUAAUAAAGGAGCCAAGUUAGUUAGGAUCAUUUAAAACAUAUUAAAACCACUUAACAGAAUUAUGUUAAUUAAGGUUUGCAGGAAAACAAUCAGUUGUUUUGUCGAAACAAUCGAUUGUUUUGGUUUGACAAUAAAGUCAACCAAGUUUUUCAAAAAGAGCUAAGGUAAAACAACCUGUUGAAUUUUUGACAGCUUUUUAGAAAACACAUCUUUUCAAAAGGUUAAAGAUUCAAAUGAACUUGGAUCAACUUAAGGAGUGAAUUAACAAGUUUCAAACAACUAGACAACACACACACCCACAGCAAGGUCUUCAAGCUUUCCUUUUGGAUUUGGAGACAUCAAAGCAUCUUGUUCAACACCUUGGAGUGAGCAUCCACGUGACAAUGAAGGUAGUGAUCCUCUCCUUCAAUUUUAAGGCGCCAACAUGAAAAGCCUUUACUUUCAAGUGAGGAUUUUUUUAUUGUAUUUUGUUGAAGUCUCCCACAACACUUAUGUUUCCUUUUUUUAUCCUUACCUUUGAGUAUUUUAGUCCAGUGAUAGCAGUCCAUACAUUAGAAUUAAUCUCCAUAUCUAGCCCUUUGACAUAGGAAUACAUAUUCUCACCAUCAACAAGUAAAUUUGUGUAGAAUACCUUCACAAGGUUUGGAAAGUUGUUCCCGAACAUCUUAAGGAACCUUCAUAGCUUUCUAUCUUUCAAGGCCUUCCUAACCUCCUUGAGAUUCUUCUCCUUUAGCCAGUUGAAAGACACCAACUUUGGGGCAUUGAUGACCUUUCUACUUAUCUCAAGCAAAAAAAAUCAAUUUUCUCAUUGUCAUCUGAGAACGAGUUUUGAAGAUGACCAACCCUUUUGAUGGCACAUUAUUUCUAUCUCUUUUGUUAGUGGGAUAAGGAGGCCAUGAUGCAGGUAUGUGUUUUUCAAGAUGAAGUAAAGAAAUCCAGUUUCAAGGUACAAAUGUAGAGAAGAAAAAAAAAGGUUGUUUUGUGAAAUAUUUGGUUGAAGGCACCUUUAUAUAAGCAAAAAAAAAAAAUAGCAAAGAUAAAGUUGCAUUUAAUGGGUUGUUUCUGCCAGAGAAAAAAGGAAUCUUUAGCUGUUUUUGAAAACUGUAAUGCGUCAGACCCUAAGAGGGACACUUUUGACUGUGCUUUAUUGUGAUUGACCAUUCAUAAAAAGCUUAUAAUUUUCAAGAAAACAACAUAAUAUAUUCUCUUAUGACCAGAUUCUGAGGCACACUCAAUGUACAAUUGACAAGAAACAGGUUUUAAAAAACAGAAACAGGUAUAAUCAUGCGUAAGCAAUUAUGGCAGAUUUAUGCAGAGGUGCCAAAGGCAAUACAACAAGUUGUUUUGUAUUUUCAACCGAUUGUUUUACUAUGACAACAAAGAGAACAUUUUCCAUAACCAAAUAAUCACCUUUUAAAGUGAUGAAAAAUGUAGUAUGCAAUUUGUUCAUAUCUUUGCACAGAGAUAACCCCAAUAGAUUCAAUCAAGAAGUAUUUUUUUGAGAUGUCCAUAUGACCAUAUAAGAUGCUUACAUGACACACUGUACAUGGGUCAUGGAUUACCUCUUGACAGUUACAGAACACUAUAAGGUGCAUACAUUUCAAUAGUAGAAAUAUAAGGACAACCAUUACUUUGGUUGGUUUUCCCUUGAGCAGUUAUUCUUUGAACUUAAUGUUUCUUGACUGCCAAGAAUACCUGAAAAAGAGAGAAUUCAAGAAGCAAGAUUUGGUCCCCUUUUGAAUGCGGGUCCAUAGGUAUUAACUAGGACUUUAGGAACCUUAGAAGUUUAUGACAUUUCUAGAUUCACAUGACUUUGAUAGAAAAAUUAAAGUGAUUUAACCAAAUAAAUGAAACAAGACUCAAGCAAAAACUAAACUGUACACGGAAAUAAAAAUAAUACAACUAAAAGAAACAUGGGAUGGUUCAAGAAAGAACAAUUAAUUUGAACCGUAUAAACUGGACAAAACAAUAAUUGAAUCGGUGAAAUGAGAUGGAAACAUGUUCAAGACAAAUAAAAAACAGUGAGUUUACAACACAUAAAUAAAGAAAGAAAGUAGUAGAAGAAGAAACACUUAGCCCAUGCUGAUAAGAGUCUGACUCUGCUGAGGUCAGCUGAAUCCCACUCAUCUUAAUUUUUCUUGGUUUUUGCUUUUACAGUUGGUCAUUUUCUAAGGGGUCUUCCAUCAAUAUCUCUCAACUUUCUUUUUUACUAUGUUUCGUAUUUUCACCUUUCACCGCGUUAGCAUAGGUUGGUUGUACAUUAUUUUUCCUCCAAAUCUACCUAUAUUUCAUGCUAUUGCUUUUCUUUCUUCUCCUUUCAUAUUUUACAUACUACCUCCCUCUAAACUCCUCUGUGCUUAGUGUAUGAUAUAUCGUUACGUUUAUAUCUUGGUUUAUUGACAUAGAUUUUCUGGUUGUCUAUUCAUAUGUUAUUCAAUUGCUUUUCCAAAUAUUCUAGAUUUGAGAUCGCCUUAACUCUAACGAAACCAAAUCUUUGUCUACUGACGAGCAAUGAAAAUGUCUUCAACUCUUCCUACCUCCAAAAUAUUUUCCACAUUUCAUAUUUGCCAAACUUUGGAAGUUUCGUUCAUUUAACACAACAAUUAUAUGUGUCAUUAUUAAGUUAUUUGGGGUUUCAUAAUGAUAAAGGUGUUGAAAAUGGUUAAACAAAACUAUGUACUCAACAAAAACAAAAACAAGGGAAAGGUGUUGGAUUUACCCGAGUCUUAAUACAUAUAAUUACAAUUCCAACCAUUAUUCAAACUUUUUUUUUCCUUGCAAGUGAUAAUAAAUUUAAAGAAGUGAUAUUAAAAGAUAAAACUUUCCAUAACACCUUAUUUAAUGAAUAUUUUUAACCAAGUUUACAAAUUUUUUAACCAACUUUUACAUUAUCUACAAAUUUUACUCACAAAUCUAUAUCGAAAAUAAAUCCAAUAUUAUUACUAAUUAUUAAUAUAAAUAUUUUUAUUAACAAUAUUAAAAAUAAGAAGAAUAUAAUGGCAAAAAUUGUAAAUAUAAAAUAUUGAAAAAGGAAAUUACAAUGAUUUCGUGUUUAACUAAUAACAAUUUAAAAGUAAUUAGAUAAAUUUUGAAAUUUAAUCAAAGGGGUGGGAUAGACAAAUAAUUUAUUGAUCCAUCAAUAAUAAUGAUAUAUUAGAGAAACAAAACAUAAUUAAUUAUGUGAAGUUGAGGCUCAAAGUACACGGUUGUUCGAACAACGGUUUCUUUUAUGUUCUAAGAUGGUUUGACAAUAGGAGCAUUUCUUGGGGCAAUCUUAUUCCCAGAUAUUCAUUUGAGUCGUAAUUAUUGAUGACUUGGGACAACCUAUAAAACUUCUACUAGUUGUUGGAUUGGUGCAAAGUUAAGGGUCUUUGUGUGUUGGUCAAUAAUCUUUGUCAUUAAAUUUAUUAACUUCAUCCAACUUGUAGACAUGAUUGAUGUACAUGUUGAAAUCAUUGUGGACAUAUUUGCACACUAUAAGCACAUGAAAACGCAGGGGAAGCUUUGAAACUUCCCACACAAUCACACCAUUGUUCAUAAAGUCUAAUAACAAAUUUUUCAUCUGGUCGAAAUUCUCUUUGGUUGGUCAUCUCCUCGACCAAGAAUUUUGUGCUGCUUCUAUCAAAUCAAGCACCCUGUGAAUAUUUCAUUUUUUUAAUGACCACAUUCUGGUAUCUUUGAUGUAACUUUGAAAUAGAGAUGAGUAACAUUAAUCAUUUUGGUCACUUCCCUCACUUUUUUUGUGAAAUAUUUGUUGCACCUUGUGUGUGUGGCUAUGGCUAUGGAGAAAAUGGGAAUAUUCUUUAACUUUUUCCAAUUUAAUUUACAAAUUUAACUAAGUUGGUUAAGUGCCCCUAUAUUCUUUCUUCGUCACAUGCAAAUGCCCAUUUAUGUUUAAGAAUUUUGUCAAUCCAAAUUGCUACUUUCGGAUUGGUUGCCUUUUUUUUAUAUUGUAGUAGUAGUUUGACAAAGUAACAAACCAUUAAAAAAUUUGUAGACAUUUGGGAAGAAUCACUCAAAAAAUUACUCAACUUGCCAUGUCAAAGUUUGUUGAUAUGGGCAAUUAUAGUGGCAAUUACACUACAAGAAAAAUGCGAAUUAUAUAGGAAUUAUUACAUACUGAUCAAAAUCUGUAUGUAAAGUCAACAUUACAUACAAAUUUUUACAUACAGAUUAUAUUCCGUAUGUGAAUAGAUAUUACAUACGGACUAUAUCCGUAUGUAACUUUGGCACCAUGAAGCGGAAAGUAAAAUAAAAUCUGCAGUAGAUGAGAUUCAAAACCAAGUUCCUUCAGUGACAAAAGAAACUUUAACCAAACAAAAUUGGGUUUGGGUUUUAAAUGUCAAUCACCCCAUCUAAAUCUCCUCAUCUUAAAGUUGAGUUGCAGUGUAGUGCGUAUUUUCAUCAGUAAUGUGAAUAGGAUUUUUGUACGUGAUUGUGGAAAGGUCUUCAUUUUGUCCUUGGUCGCAUCUUUGUAAGACAUGUUAUUUAAAGGCAUCAAAUGACAUUCUUCUAUGAAUGGCCACCAUGAAGACUUAUGACACUUUGGAAGACAACCCUAUAUGAAGAAAGUUAACACUCUCGACAUAAUCAUAGAUCAUUACUCAAAUGGAUAAAUCCAUUUGAAUAGAAAAUGAAUGGAACUUACCUAACUCUUGAAGUGAGAGAAUUCAAGAAAGUUUAAAGGUUUGAGAAAUUUGUUAGCAAAAUCAUGUUAUGGGUUAUGUGAUAUUUACUGAGAAAAGUGACACACAACGUAACCAUUGAUGUGUAUAUUUGCAUGCAAAUUAAGACUACCACGCAUGUGAAUGGUGGCAUGAGAGUUAAGAGGGGCACACGUGUCAAGAGUUCCACACGAAUAAAGGGUGGCAGGAAUGCCUAGCAAGGAAAGUGAACAAAGAUUCUCAUGCAAGCAAACCUGGGUAUGCAAGUUAAGACUACAACGUGUGAUGAUGGUGACAGUUCGAUUAUGACUGUCACAGUGACCAACUUUAUCACAGUUACAAAUUUCAGUUAUAAGUUAACUAAAGGUACUUUGGUAGACUUUGUCACAUCCUUAGACAUUCAAUACGAGGCUCGAUAAUAAAGGAAGUAAAGCAUUAACGAAACUUGUUCUCCAUUACUGAAUGGAAAUAACAAUGCAUAUUUAAAGAUUAAUAAAUAAAGCAUAAAUUUGAAAUACUUAGCACAUUCCAAUACACUAAAACAUCAAACUAACUUCAAAGACAACAAUUUUUCGAUUUCAUAUAAAGACGCAGAAGAUGUUGGGUGUGAGUUGUGCUCACAAAUAUAAGUCAUUAUCUUGACCUACACUUACUAUGCUUGACUUGUUGACAUAGUGAACAUAUUGUCCACAUUCUCAUCUUUAUAAAUCAUAUAUGAAUGAUGAAGAUGUGUUAACAAAGAUGUAGAUCGAAUAUAUGUAAUGUAAGUCGACAAGAUAAAACUUGUUUGUUGUUGUAUUGAAUUGAUUAAUGGUUGUUUGCUUCAUUUCCAAUGUCGUCAUUGUAUUGAUGAUAAUAACUCAAGCCGUGUGUGGACUAACAUGGUAGACAAAUCACCUACCGUCUGUCAAGAUUUGGCCACUAUAAUUCACUAACACAAUAAAAACUGCAAAAGUCAUAUCUAUACUUUACAACAAUUAUUACUUUAGGCAACAACAUAAAAUUGUGGUCUAAAAUCGUGGCCUAAGGUUUAGGCAACGGUUUUUUAGUCGUGGUCGAAGUGUGCGUGGCCGUAUGUAAUAGGCCACGGUUUUUAUAAAGACAAUAAUUUUAAAAUCGUUGUCUAAAAUAUUUAUAACAGCUAUAAUUAGAAGUGCUGCUUGUAAGGAUCUAGAAAAUAACCUUAGAGUAUAAGUGAUAUAUUUUAAAUGAUAUUUGAAUAUUUUAUUAUUAAAAUGAAAAUGACAAAUAAAUAGAAAAUUCAGUUAUUCAGGUUUCAUUUUAAAAGAACCAACAUCUCUAUAAAAGUUUCCCUUUUUCUUUCUCUCCAUUCUCUCUAAGAUUCUGAUCUCCCCACUUAUCAGUUUGGCGAUCGGAGUCUGCCAUUGGACUCCUGGCAGCGAAGACUACAAGACUGCUCGAUCAGAAUCUCUUAUAGAGUAAGUUCAGUUUUGUUCCUCUUUUUCCUUUUCUCUCCCUUCUCUCUAAGAUUCUGACCUCCUUGCUUAUCAGUUUGGCGAUCGGAGUCUGCCAUUGGACUCCUGUCAGUGAACCCUAUAAGAUUGCCCGAUCAAAAUCUCAGAUAGAGUAAGUUCAUUCUUGACCCCUUUUUCUUUGGAGUUAAUUUUGAUCUUAUUAUAUUUAUGCUUUGCAUAUGAUUCUUUUAGCUUCAGGGUUAAUUUUGUUAACAAAGAGUCCUAGUUAUAUAGUUAGAUUUUUAUCAGGAUUAUAUGGUGCAGGUUACAUUACCUUUAGGCUUUUGGUGGAUUUGGAGCUCCUAGUGAGCAUGAGCUAAAGUUCAGGUAAGGGAAGCUAGUUUUAAAUUGCCAAUAGAACCCUAAGCUAGAAGAUCUGGAUGUGGGGGUGACGUGGUCACCAAUUUCAAAUUUUCUUGCAGGAUCUCUUGUUUUUGCGUAGAUUGGAAAUUGUUUGAGAUUGAAAUGAAAAAUUUAGAUAUAGUAGAUGAUGUAGAAUGUAUAUAAGUUUGGAAUUGAAUGAAUUACUGAAUGUAUUUGAAAAAGGUUUGUGAUGAUUUUUUUUGACAAUUUCAAAGCACAUAUUUUGAUCAUUUCGUGAUGAUUCAAUUUAUGAACUAAAAAUUGUUUGUGACAAUUUUUAAAGUAAAUUAUGAGUUGAUUAUUUGGAGAAUUGCUAUGUUGAUUGUAAUAUAAAUUCUGGUGUUUUUGAAAUAAAUUAGUUGUUAGGUUUAACAAUUGGUGAUCAAACUUUAAUUUGCAUGUUGUGGCUUUCCCAUCCUUUUUAUUAAAUAAUGUUGGAUACGUGGUGCUAGGUAUAUGUAAAGUAAAAAGAAGAAAAUUUAUUGUUCAUGCUCUUUUCUUUCAUUCUAUAAAUUCUAUGCAAUGUUGGAUGAUACUUUUCUUUUCUCCUUUUGUAAUUGGUGUAACAAUCUUGCUAUAAUUCUAAAUAUUAAAGUAUUACAAUAAAUGUUGGAAUUAGUUCUUCCUUGUGGAAAUUUGAAGAAGUUGAGAGCUGUUGGAUAUAGUUGUACUUGAGAGAUAACUUUGUUUCAUUCUCCUUUUAUUGUCUCUCUUUUUGGGUAGUAAAACUUGAUGUUAUUUAGAUACACUUUGGAGCCCUUUUGAUUCAAGACAUUUGGAAUGAUUUGAUUGUUUGAUGUUGGAGAUUGUGAUGUUUAGAAUAUGAAUUUUAAUGAAAACCUAGUAUUUUUAGGAAAGAAAAUAUCGUGUGAAGAUUGUUUAGGAUGUGCAUUGACUAGGGAUUCGUCUAAAAGGAGAUAUCCUGACUCUCCUGAGAUAAUGGAAUCAUAUAGAUGAAGUUAUUCAGGUGGUGAGAGUUGAAGGAGGUUCGUAUGAGUGGGUAAGUUGUUUGAAAGAUAACUAACUUGACCUAUAAUACGAGUCAACCAUGUCAUACUAGGAGAGAUAUGAUAUUGAGAUUCUUUAUGCGCAUAGCUGUGUGGAUUUCAGAGUGAGAUAGUAAAACAGGUGCAGAUCUCUGAGUCUAAGUCAAUGCAUGAGUCUUCCGGAAGUAGAGUGAAGUGUCUAUGUGUUGUGAAUCAGUAGAAGUCUGACAUAUGAAAGAUGAAUUUUAUGAAUGGAAUAAACACUUGAUGGUUUGGGAAAUCAUAUGAGAAUUGAUGAAUUAUGCUUAUGAAUUUGAAAUUUAAAUUAUAUCAAAACUUUUUAUAUAGAUAUCUUACCUUGUUAUUUGUUUGUGUUUGCUUCUUUAUCUGUGAUGAUCGUGUUUUACACGGGAGCAGAUGAGAUUGCAGGUAAUAGAGCUCCUUAGUGAGCAGCUGGAGGAUGAGAUAGUUUUAUUUGAAUGCUUUGUUUUGUUGUUAAAACUUUUGAUAUAUAUAUAUAUAUAUUAAAUCCCUAUGAAGAGGGAUAUUUCUUUUGAGAUACACAUAUCAGAAAGUAGUAUAUGUUUAUUUGUAAUUAGAUAUUGCUUGUUUUACUUUUAUUUCAUUAUAUACGGGUAAAAUUAAGGAUGUUACAUUAUGGUAUCAGAGUUGUUUGAACCUUAGGAGACCUUAGGGUUAUGGUGUUGCUUAUGUGUGCUUUAGUUGUUUUGUUAGUAAAACUACAUAGUUAUGAUUCUUUUUUAUUUAUCCUAAAUCUUUCUUUUCUGUUGUAUAGCAUGGCUCCUAAACCUCCUACCCCUCCCCAAACUUCUUUUGAGAUGAACCAGAUUGCCAAGGUUAUUGAAAUGAUGGCAAAUGCUAUCUAACAACAGAAUAUGGCAAUGGCUUAGAAUCAUCAGGCAGCAAUGCAUCAUUGGGAGACUGCAAGAUUUGCUGCAACAGCUUCCCAUGUCAGUCAGUCUCAGGAGCAGAUGGGACUGACAAAGUUCAUGAGACACAACCCACCUAAGUUCACUGGGAAUGCCACUCCUGACCAAGCAGACCAAUGGAUCAGGGAGUUAGAGAUUUGAAGUUGCAUAUUUAGUUAAUUACUUAGCUUAAUACUAUGUUUCAAUAUUUAGGUGAGUUUUAUAUAAUGGGAAAGAGUAGUAUUGUGGGCAUUGUUAACAAUGAAUCUAUGGACACAAGUGUAUAUGUUCAUAACUUUAAAAUUGUCUCAUUAGAUAUGAUGUGACCAACAUAUUAAAUUAUUAUUAAUAUAUUGAUUUUAUAAGGUGAUUACAUUUCAAUAUAUAAAAUUGUAUCACUCUAAUAGUGAUGUGAUUCCACUAGCCAUAUAGAGAAUGAUUCUUGACAUUCUUAGGAAUCACCUUGAGUUGGACAUUAUAGAGACACUUUUCUUAGAGUUGGAUCAUUGUUCUAAGACAAGAACUCACCAAAAACUAGUACCAAAUCCCAAACUCAUUUGGAUGUUCCACAUAUUGUCAAAUUGAACCAACAAAGAGAGGUAAAACUAAGAAUUACCGAACAGAAUUGCAUAAGAACACAUUUCAACCGAACAAAAUGAAAUUAAAAGGCAAAGAACAGAACAUAGGUGCUGGAAAACUAGAAUAGCCGAACCAAACAACAAGACAACAAGCUAGAACAUAGAAUUAACAAAGAAGAAAGGAAGGAGAGAAGAAAUGCUCAUGAAGAUGGAAGGAUGAUGGAUGAUCUCGCCACUAGAAGUGUGGAAUGCUCCUAGAUGAGAGUGUUGCCGCCACUUGAGGACUCCAUGGAUCCAUCAAGAUAAGACUAGAGAAGAAGGCUCAAAAGCUCUCCAAUGUUCACUCAAAAUUUGAGUAGAUUUUUCUUAGAUUAAUUCCAAUCUGAAAAAUACAAGGAGAGCACCUCUAUUUAUAGCCUAAGGUGCUGAAAAACAAAGCUAAGAGAAUUCAAAAUUCCCUCCUAAAAUUAUUCAAAACCGGCGCCUAAUCCAUACAUGAGGAAGGUGUGACUCCUUCCUUCACUUUGGCACCUCCUAUUCUACUUCUACUCCUAUCUACUAACACACCCCCCUAAAGCUCCUAACUAAAGCCUAAAAGAUGCUAUAACAAUAGAGGUUUCUAAAGUUUCCCUCUAAGCACCUUCAACUAAAGAAAUUACAAAAAGAGAAAAUAAAUGUCCUCUAGUUCCUAAAGCUUUAAACAUGCUUCUUGUAAACCUUUGAGGUGGACUUUGACCUCCAUGGGCGUCUUCUAUUUGUGCCUCUACCUCUUCUUGAUCUUGUUGAUUGGCCUCUAUGUUCUCUUGAUCUUGAUCUCCAUCAAAUAGCCUAGUCUUUCAUGUCUAGGAGGCCCAAGGCAAAAAAAAAAAAUUAAGAUCAAAAUAGUAAAUUGUAGUAUUAAUGCAUCAUGAAGUUUUUUAUUAGACCUAUUUUCUUGUUCAUCUUCUAUCUACUUCUAAACCAUCAAUGCACCUAGGAGUUGAAAAUGAAAAUGGUGUUAGAAAUUGUAAUUCACAUAAGUUUGUUAGGGAAUUAUUUUCUUAGUUAAUUAAUAUUAUAUAAGGUAUCUUUUAUUCAGAGUGCAAGCAUGUACAUUUGAAAAUAAUAUAGAACAUUAUUUUUCUAUAAUUUCUUUCUUUUUAAUUGUUUUGGUAAUUUCUAACCAAUUAGUAUCGAGAUCAAGGUCGAUCCAUCAACCUCCGAGGUGUGUUCUUUAAUUGAAGAACCUAAAUCUUCAAACAAGGAGAAAUGUCAAGUUUGAGCAAUGUUGUUUGUAGCACUUUAUCAGUGUUUAAUGCAAACAAUUUUGAUGAUUGGAGAAUAAAGAUGACUACCUUAUUUGAUUUUCAAGAUGUAUAAGAAAUUGUGUUUUUGGGAUUUUAGGAAUUACGAAGCUAUGCUAUUGCAGAAAAAGACAAAAAAAUAUCAAUUAACAAUAAAUAUUAUAUUAAAUAGGAGUACUAGGGCAAUUCAACCCAUUUACAAAAAUACCUACAACAAUACAUAAAACAUAAAAAGGAAUCAAUUCAUACUCACAAGCUCUCAAUGUGCAGUAAUCAUUAUCUACUCAUUCCUUACCAAACUACUGUGAUCUUAUCCAAAAAUCAUUACAAACAGUCCCAACCUAUCACCAAUAGAAUUUCAAAAGAUAAUUUGCAAUCAAACCAAAGGAGUCCCAACACAAAAUAUAGUUUUCGUGGACUACAUAAUUCUAAGUUGUAUGCAAAGAAAUCUAAAAAAGAACAUGCCUUCCCAUACCAACUUUUAGGGAUUUAAAAUCAGAAAAUAGAAGGAAAGAUUUGUUGAUGGAAGAUUACAUAGAAUCUCCAAGUUAGCAUACGAAACUUGUUUUCCUGCACAUUUAAAGUAACCAAGUAAGAAAAAAAAAAUGGUACUCUACCUUUGCUGUUAGAUAUUCCUCCAGGUAAAAUAGGUUUGUAAUUCAUGAUUGCACACUAUUUUUUAUUGUAUAAAUGCUCCUUUAGUCGUAGAAUUAGUUGGUCUUCAAGACAUAAAAUUGCAACAUCACUACAUAUACGUGUGUUAUUUUUAUGUACAUGAUAGAAAAGAUUUCAGACAUAAGCAACAAUUAGCAUAUGAAAAAAUAACUUUUUUAUUGAGGUUUCAGAAAACUUGAUAGUAAGGUAGAAUUCUUGAUUCAUAUGUGUUGAUGCUACUACUUUGGGAAAAUAUACAUUGCCACUACAAUAAGUGUGAGAUAUUUUGGUUAAGACCUAUGGUGGUCUUAACAGGAGAAAGAAAGUCAAGUUACAGACUUUAAUAAGGUAAUACGAGUUGCUCUCAAUAAAUGAUCAAGAAUAUGUUGCAAAUUAUUUCAACGAAAUUCAGAUUUCGAUGAAUGGAAUCAAGUAUUUUAAAAAGGACCACAUAUCAACAUGUUGAUAUGAGCUGCAUAACAUUAAACUCACAUUUUGCUUAUAUUUGUUUUGUGAAUUAAAUAAUCGAAGAACCUUAACUCAAUAAGUAUUGAAGAAUUACAUAAUUCACUUGAAGCCCAUAAAAAAAGAAUUAGUCAGAGAUGGGAUUCUGAAAAGGCACAAAAGUGAGCAUUACAAGUCCAAAAUAAUUUCAAAAAUAAAAGGAGUUGUAAUCAGAAAGGAAAUACAAAUAGAAAGGAAGAAGAUUGAAUUAAUCAACCAACGAAAAGAUUGAAAUGCUCAAUAUUUGAGUAACCUAACCGACAUUAAAAAUUGGGGUCAAUCAAAACAGAAGGAAGUUUAUAACUGAAAUAACUUGAGAUAUUUUGCAUGAAUGCUAAAGUUGAAAAGAAGGAAAAGGAAAAUUCAAUGAUGAAACAAACAUAGAUUAUGAUGAUUGGUGAGACUAAGAAUCAGACCUAAUACCAUUGAAGGAAAAUGAUGUAUGUGAUAUGUGAAGUUCAAAUGCUCAACUAAGAUACGAAAUGACAAUUUAUUGAAAAUUAUAACAAGUGAUUAAUAUGUUUUUGAUUAAUUCAAUAGAUACUAUGAAAUAUAAGGUAUUCAUUAACCUCCUUAUACACUAAAACAUAAUGGUAAUGCAGAAAAGAAAAAUAGGACCAUGAUGAAUAUGGCGAGAUGCAUGUUGAUGACUAUUUUACGACAAAUGUACCGUGUCAAAAGUAAUAAUUUGUCCCAAAUGAUGGAUAUUGAACCCACAAGGAACAGUUAAACUCUCAAGUAUAAUACUCACCAAAUAUAAGACAAUUUGCAAAAGUUUGUUGGAAAGGUUUUUUGUAUGAUGAAUUUGAAAAAAAAUUAAAUAAAGUAAAGUAAAAGAUCAUUCAUAUUGAUCUUUGAUUGAUUUAUGAGUCAAUUGGGAAAAUUUGGAUUGCGGUUCAUCCUUCUAACCCGUAUGUAUUUUUCAAAAGAAUAUAAUAUUCAAUCUUGAUUGAUUUUGAUGCACAUAUAAAAAUCAUUCAUAUUGAUUCCUCACAUACAAAAUUAUUACGAGAGUCUCAUAAAUAUCGAUUCCUCUCACAUUUAUAAAAUCUCCUUAUCAUUACAAAAAGAUGUUAUAAAGCAAUUAACAUUUCAAAUCUAUUUCUAGUAUUCAAAUAUGUUAAGAAUUAUCAUUUAGAUAAGAUGUUUAGAACUACUUUUUGAUGGAGUUAUGCCUUCAUUCUGUUUGGUUUUCUUGGUGGAGAGGUGCGGAAGCUUCAUUGAUUGCAGCAGACAAGGAACUGACCUAUGUUAGAAUAUAUGGCCUUAAACGAGAGGGGGGGUGAAUUGUUUAAGAAAGAUUUUCGUAAACUUUUAAGCCUAAAAUGAAAAUACUUCAAGAAAACCUUGAUUAAGAAUUCAGUUUUCCAAAACAUAAAGCAAAAGCAUAAUACUGGAAAAACAAUCGGUUGUUUUACCGAAACAAUCGGUUGUUUAUACCAGUUAUCAAUUAACAAAACUGAAUUUAAAGAGAUAGGGAUAGAGAGAUUGUACACAGUUGUUUAUACUCGUUCACUCCAAACCCAGAGCUACAUCCAAUCUUCUCAGAAACCCUGAGGAAAUCCACUAAGCAAUCACACCUUGAUCACUUACACAACA